Molecule: non-coding RNA, 24 nt
Filed under: Arabidopsis thaliana (thale cress)
Lineage: Eukaryota; Viridiplantae; Streptophyta; Magnoliopsida; Brassicales; Brassicaceae
Source: RNAcentral
UCCUAGCCGCAAGGUGUCGAUGCC